Molecule: transfer RNA, 67 nt
Filed under: Cavia porcellus (domestic guinea pig)
Lineage: Eukaryota; Metazoa; Chordata; Mammalia; Rodentia; Caviidae
Rfam family: tRNA
About the family: Transfer RNA (tRNA) molecules are approximately 80 nucleotides in length. Their secondary structure includes four short double-helical elements and three loops (D, anti-codon, and T loops).
Source: Rfam by way of RNAcentral
GGGGAUUUAGCUCAGCAGCUUAAGUGCCUGCCUUACAAGCAGGCAGUUGUGAGUUGUUCAAUCCCCG